AGAACGAACGCUGGCGGCAGGCUUAACACAUGCAAGUCGAACGCCCCGCAAGGGGAGUGGCAGACGGGUGAGUAACACGUGGGAACGUGCCCUAAGGUUUGGAAUAUUCCCGGGAAACUGGGAGCAAUACCAAAUGUGUCCGCAAGGAGAAAGAUUUAUCGCCUUAGGAUCGGCCCGCGUCAGAUUAGGUUGUUGGUGGGGUAAUGGCCUACCAAGCCGACGAUCUGUAGCUGGUCUGAGAGGACGACCAGCCACACUGGGACUGAGACACGGCCCAGACUCCUACGGGAGGCAGCAGUGGGGAAUCUUGGACAAGUGGGCGCAAGCCUGAUCCAGCCAUGCCGCGUGGAUGAUGAAGGCCUUAGGGUUGUAAAAUCUUCGUGGACGAUAAUGACGUACCAAGAAGAGCUCCGCUAACUUCGUGCCAGCAGCCGAC
This 436-nucleotide ribosomal RNA is filed under the name uncultured soil bacterium. RNAcentral's name for it is "bacterial SSU rRNA". It matches the Rfam family "Bacterial small subunit ribosomal RNA", at positions 26 to 518 of the family's 1533-position model. The record is from RNAcentral.